UGGCGUCCUCUACAAGUCCUGUGGCCCAAUGGCGACGUCUCUCCUACCAAGGGAGGAUGCUCUGUGCAGGCUCCAAAAUUGGGGCAGUAAACCCCAGUUGGUGAUUCCCAGGAAGGCACCUGGGCGAGGCGCUGUCCAAUGCUUCCCCCAAACAUCCACAAAGCCCUGCAAGAGUUGCCCAGGAGGCCCCCAGAGGGUACUACCCCAGGGAAGCCUCCUCCCAAGGCAGAAGGAGUUCCGUGUCAACCUCGCUGCUGGCGAUCCGCAGAUGGGCGUUCAUGGUCAGAUGGGCGUUCAUGGUCAGAUGGGGGUGCUCAUGGCUUUUGGAAUCUGGAUGUGGAGCUGGAGGCGGUGGGGGUGAUGAGGGAGGGAGCACUGUGGGUACCACAUCAUUUGUUUCCCUUGACUCUGGCGUCACAAACACAGCUUCUUGGAAUCUCAUGCCUGUUACUGGCUGUGUGAUCUGGAGCAACUGGCUUCUGCUCUCUGAGCCUUUAUUUCCCACAUCUGCAAAGUGGUGCACAGUAAUACCGACGUUCCUGGCUCUGUGUAAGGAGCCAUGAGAGUGUAUUUAAAGGGCCCAGCACCCAGCUGCUCUCAGUAGAUGCUCAAGAGACAGUAACAACCCUGUCAUUAUAUGAGGUUCAAUGCAACUCAUCUGAUUCCCCUUCCAGUGGCUGGAGAACAUCCCACCUUCUGAGCCUUGGGGAGAAGCAGAGUGUGCCCUUUCUCUGCCCACUGGAGAAGCUGAAACAACAAAAACUCCCUUCCCUGGCCUCCCUGCAGUAAGUCAAAGAUGGUGUCGAAAAUGGUGAAAUCAAGAACUAGUGCUUAGAAGUAUGGAGAUUUAAAAACAGAAGAAACACCUCCCAAAGUUGCAAGUGGUCGCCUGUCCCAGAGAGCUGCUGAGAUGAUGUGGGGAGGCGGCAGCUGAGUUUUGUGGUGAGAAAGUGGAGUUCGAAGAUGUCAUCAGCCCAGGUCACACAGAUGGUGGAGACCAGUGUGGAGCCCGGGAGUGGGCUGAGCAGAGCAUCUGGACUUUGAGCUUCCAUCAGACCCCGAGAUAGUCACCUGUCCUGGCUGCCUGGUGACCCUGGUGUGCUAACUUGGCACUUAUCUUGCUCUAUGGAGGCCCCUGGGCCCCCUGAACACCAGGUGGGUGCCUUCAGCCAGCCCCAUACUGACCUGUGAAGCCCAGGUAUUGCUGGCCAACCCACCCCACUCACAGACAGAAGCAGUUCUCCAUCUUUUGGCUUUAGCAGAUCUGCUUCAUUUCUCCUCCCCACAAAGCCUGGACUUUGUUCUGGGGGUAUCCCUGUUUGCAGUGAAGCUUUUUCACUCAGUGCUCAAUCUGAUCCCAACUCCACCCCACAUCUCUGACUGCAUAGACCUUUGUGACUGCCUUGACCAGUAGAGUAUGGCAGAAGAUGCUCUGUAACUUCCCAGGCUAGAUCUAGAAAAUGCCAUGCAUUUCUGCCUUGCUCUCCUGGGACAUCCACUCUUAGAACCCAGCUGCCACGCUAAAAAGAACUCACAGACCACGUGGAGUGGAGCAGACGGGUCAGUGUCCCAGGUGGCAGCCCGUGUCGGCCUCAGACCUGCACGUGAGGAUGCCCACCAGAGGGUUCCUGCCACCACCGUCAAGUCACCCCAGCCUUCAUCUUCCAGCCGGCGCCUCAGGCAUUAUGGGCAGAGGUAAACUGUCUCCAUGAUGCCCUUUCCAAAUUUCUGACCCACAGAAUCCAUGAUUAUAAUAAAAUGGCUGUUUUAUGUGCUCAA
Gorilla gorilla gorilla (western lowland gorilla) is the source of this 1779-nucleotide long non-coding RNA. RefSeq lists it as uncharacterized. The record is from RefSeq and is a predicted model, not a curated record. Lineage: Eukaryota; Metazoa; Chordata; Mammalia; Primates; Hominidae. The transcript is spliced from 4 exons.